This 506-nucleotide ribosomal RNA is filed under the name uncultured bacterium. Its description in RNAcentral is "partial 16S ribosomal RNA". It matches the Rfam family "Bacterial small subunit ribosomal RNA", at positions 28 to 507 of the family's 1533-position model. The record is from RNAcentral.
GACGAACGCUGGCGGCGUGCUUAACACAUGCAAGUCGAACGGUGAAGGGACUGGUUUUGCUGGUCCUGGAUGAGUGGCGAACGGGUGAGUAACACGUGAGUAACCUGCCCCCUUCUUCUGGAUAACCGCAUGAAAGUGUGGCUAAUACGGGAUAUUCUGGGUCUGUCGCAUGGUGGGCCUGGGAAAGAUUGCGCCUUUUUUGGUGUUUUUGGUGGGGGAUGGGCUCGCGGCCUGUCAGCUUGUUGGUGGGGUGAUGGCCUACCAAGGCGGUGACGGGUAGCCGGCCUGAGAGGGUGGACGGUCACACUGGGACUGAGACACGGCCCAGACUCCUACGGGAGGCAGCAGUGGGGAAUAUUGCACAAGGGGCGCAAGCCUGAUGCAGCGACGCCGCGUGAGGGAUGGAGGCCUUCGGGUUGUGAACCUCUUUCGCCAGUGAAGCAGGCCUGCCUCUUUUUGUGGGUGGGUUGACGGUAGCUGGAUAAGAAGCGCCGGCUAACUACGUG